RNAcentral lists this ribosomal RNA (800 nucleotides) under Brevibacterium iodinum. RNAcentral describes it as "bacterial SSU rRNA". It matches the Rfam family "Bacterial small subunit ribosomal RNA", at positions 26 to 842 of the family's 1533-position model. Lineage: Bacteria; Bacillati; Actinomycetota; Actinomycetes; Micrococcales; Brevibacteriaceae. The record is from RNAcentral.
GGGUCGGGGCUGGUGCUUAUACAUGCAAGUCGACGCUGAAGCCGACAGCUUGCUGUUGGUGGAUGAGUGGCGAACGGGUGAGUAACACGUGAGUAACCUGCCCCUGAUUUCGGGAUAAGCCUGGGAAACUGGGUCUAAUACCGGAUACGACCAAUCCUUGCAUGAGGGUUGGUGGAAAGUUUUUCGAUCGGGGAUGGGCUCGCGGCCUAUCAGCUUGUUGGUGGGGUAAUGGCCUACCAAGGCGACGACGGGUAGCCGGCCUGAGAGGGCGACCGGCCACACUGGGACUGAGACACGGCCCAGACUCCUACGGGAGGCAGCAGUGGGGAAUAUUGCACAAUGGGGGAAACCCUGAUGCAGCGACGCAGCGUGCGGGAUGACGGCCUUCGGGUUGUAAACCGCUUUCAGCAGGGAAGAAGCGAGAGUGACGGUACCUGCAGAAGAAGUACCGGCUAACUACGUGCCAGCAGCCGCGGUAAUACGUAGGGUACGAGCGUUGUCCGGAAUUAUUGGGCGUAAAGAGCUCGUAGGUGGUUGGUCACGUCUGCUGUGGAAACGCAACGCUUAACGUUGCGCGUGCAGUGGGUACGGGCUGACUAGAGUGCAGUAGGGGAGUCUGGAAUUCCUGGUGUAGCGGUGAAAUGCGCAGAUAUCAGGAGGAACACCGGUGGCGAAGGCGGGACUCUGGGCUGUAACUGACACUGAGGAGCGAAAGCAUGGGGAGCGAACAGGAUUAGAUACCCUGGUAGUCCAUGCCGUAGACGUUGGGCACUAGGUGUGGGGGACAUUCCACGUUCUCC